GACGAACGCUGGCGGCGUGCUUAACACAUGCAAGUCGAACGGAAAGGCCCUGCUUUUGUGGGGUGCUCGAGUGGCAAACGGGUGAGUAACACGUGAGUAACCUGCCCUUGACUUUGGGAUAACUUCAGGAAACUGGGGCUAAUACCGGAUAGGAGCUCCUGCUGCAUGGUGGGGGUUGGAAAGUUUCGGCGGUUGGGGAUGGACUCGCGGCUUAUCAGCUUGUUGGUGGGGUAGUGGCUUACCAAGGCUUUGACGGGUAGCCGGCCUGAGAGGGUGACCGGCCACAUUGGGACUGAGAUACGGCCCAGACUCCUACGGGAGGCAGCAGUGGGGAAUAUUGCACAAUGGGCGGAAGCCUGAUGCAGCAACGCCGCGUGCGGGAUGACGGCCCUCGGGUUGUAAACCGCUUUCGCCUGUGACGAAGCGUGAGUGACGGUAAUGGGUAAAGAAGCACCGGCUAACUACGUG
RNAcentral lists this ribosomal RNA (468 nucleotides) under uncultured bacterium. Its description in RNAcentral is "partial 16S ribosomal RNA". It matches the Rfam family "Bacterial small subunit ribosomal RNA", at positions 28 to 507 of the family's 1533-position model. The record is from RNAcentral.